This 803-nucleotide non-coding RNA is filed under the name Tympanophyllum maximum. RNAcentral describes it as "12S ribosomal RNA". The stretch from base 390 to 796 matches the Rfam family "Microsporidia small subunit ribosomal RNA", at positions 751 to 1303 of the family's 1311-position model. The record is from RNAcentral. Lineage: Eukaryota; Metazoa; Arthropoda; Insecta; Orthoptera; Tettigoniidae.
UUAAAAUUUUAUUCUGGUUUAUGAAUUUAUUUUUUGAACGGUUUACAUGUAAAUUUAGGUGUGAGAGUAAUAAUUGAUCUAGAAGAUCUUGUUGUAUUAAUCGCAGUAUUGAAUAUUAUGAAUAUUAGGGUAACCUAGAAUUAGUGAUUUAAUUAAAUAUUGGCUAAAAUCGUGCCAGCUGCCGCGGUUAUACGUUAAAAUAUGAGUGAAUUAUUUUGGUGUUAAAGUUAAUUUGUUAAAAAGAUGUAUUAUAAUGUAUUAAAAGGUUUUUAUGAAGGUGGAAUUUAUAGAAAAUGGUCAAUUUAUAAAGUAAGUGAAUGAGGCUUUGAAGUUUUAAUAAUAGACUAGGAUUAGAUACCCUAUUAUAUAUUAAGAAAAUAUUAACCACUGGAGUAUUAGUAGUUAAGGUCUUGAAAGUCAAAGAAUUUGGCGGUGCUUUAGUCUUGUCAGAGGAAUUUGUCCUGUAAUUGAUAUUACGCGUUAUAGUAAACUUGGCUUUGUAGUUCAACUUAUAUACCGCCGUCAUAAGAAUAUUUUAGAAGAGUAUUUUCUAAAGAUUUAAGGGAGUAGUAUGUCAGGUCAAGGUGUAGUUUAUAGUUAAGAAGGAGAUGAAUUACAAUAAAAUUAUUUAUUACGGAUAUUAAUAUGGAAUUAAUAAUUGAAGGUGGAUUUGAAGGUAAUGUUGUUUUAUUAUGGCAGUGUGAUUUAAGCUCUAAAGUAUGUACACAUCGCCCGUCGCUCUCACUAUAAAGUGAGAUAAGUCGUAACAGAGUAGGUAUACUGGAAAGUGUACCUAGUAAGGC